CCUACGGGAGGCAGCAGUGGGGAAUAUUGGACAAUGGGCGAAAGCCUGAUCCAGCCAUGCCGCGUGUGUGAAGAAGGCCUUCGGGUUGUAAAGCACUUUCAGUGGGGAAGAAAGCCUUGGGGCUAAUACCCUCGAGGAAGGACAUCACCCACAGAAGAAGCACCGGCUAACUCCGUGCCAGCAGCCGCGGUAAUACGGAGGGGUGCGAGCGUUAAUCGGAAUUACUGGGCGUAAAGGCGCGUAGGCGGUCUGAUAAGCCGGUUGUGAAAGCCCCGGGCCCAACCUGGGAACGGCAUCCGGAACUGUCAGGCUAGAGUGCAGGAGAGGAAGGUAGAAUUCCCGGUGUAGCGGUGAAAUGCGUAGAGAUCGGGAGGAAUACCAGUGGCGAAGGCGGCCUUCUGGACUGACACUGACGCUGAGGUGCGAAAGCGUGGGUAGCAAACAGGAUUAGAUACCCCAGUAGUC
RNAcentral lists this ribosomal RNA (465 nucleotides) under Vreelandella stevensii. RNAcentral describes it as "partial 16S ribosomal RNA". It matches the Rfam family "Bacterial small subunit ribosomal RNA", at positions 338 to 795 of the family's 1533-position model. Lineage: Bacteria; Pseudomonadati; Pseudomonadota; Gammaproteobacteria; Oceanospirillales; Halomonadaceae. The record is from RNAcentral.